UUCCUACGGGGCGCAGCAGUGGGGAAUAUUGCACAAUGGGCGAAAGCCUGAUGCAGCAACGCCGCGUGAAGGAAGAAGGGUUUCGGCUCGUAAACUUCUAUUAACAGGGACGAAAGAAAUGACGGUACCUGAAUAAGAAGCCCCGGCUAACUACGUGCCAGCAGCCGCGGUAAUACGUAGGGGGCAAGCGUUAUCCGGAAUUACUGGGUGUAAAGGGAGCGUAGACGGAAAGGCAAGUCAGAAGUGAAAACCCAAGGCUCAACCAUGGGACUGCUUUUGAAACUGUCAAACUAGAGUACGGGAGG
RNAcentral lists this ribosomal RNA (305 nucleotides) under uncultured bacterium. Its description in RNAcentral is "bacterial SSU rRNA". It matches the Rfam family "Bacterial small subunit ribosomal RNA", at positions 336 to 655 of the family's 1533-position model. The record is from RNAcentral.